UGUGUCUCUUUAGUAGAGGAAGCCUUAAGAUAGAGGUUAAUCAGCCAAGUAACAGUUAAGGAAGAAUGCUACAGGAGCAGGUAGGGAAAACUUUGAGGUAGAGCUAAUGAGGGAAUAGCUAUUAGUUUGAAGAUAUUUGGAUUCUCAUUUGCACUGGUUUGUCCUAUCCUGGAAGGGGUUUAGAUGUUUGUGACCUGACCAGAGGGCUGAGCUAUAGGAGAUGAAGACUCAGAAAGAUGUAUUGUAAGCCCUGAGGGACAACCCAAUAGGGAGGUGCCAGAAAUGAAGAUCCCUAUAAAGAUGCCCUCAGAUGGGAGAGGGUACACUACAGGUACCGUUUUACAUCCUGUGUUCUGGAAGAGUCUGACUUUGAGCAUUGAAAGUAGAGAUGACUUUUGUCAGUGGGAGCAGGAUUGAGACCCAAAUAUUAAGGACUCUAAACCACAAGGUAUUCGUGGAAGGUGUGGAUCUUAGCUUGGUUGCUUUUAGAGAACUUAUUUACAUCUCAGAACCUUUCUGUAGCAACAUUCUUUCAUCUUGCAAUUUCAAAGCACUUCCAUUAAGCCUCACAACACCCCCCUGAGGAAGGGAAGUUACUGUCAUCCCCAUUUUACAUAUGAGGCAACUGAGGCACAGAGAUGUGUAAUGACUCAUCCAAGUCAUUGCCGCAAGUCAGUGGAAGAGACCGGACACCCAGAUGAAUGUUCCAACCACCAUG
Mauremys mutica (yellowpond turtle) is the source of this 718-nucleotide long non-coding RNA. RefSeq lists it as uncharacterized. NCBI's taxonomy places the organism in Eukaryota, Metazoa, Chordata, Testudines, Geoemydidae. The transcript is spliced from 3 exons. The record is from RefSeq and is a predicted model, not a curated record.